CCUACGGGAGGCAGCAGUAGGGAAUCUUUCACAAUGGGCGAAAGCCUGAUGGAGCAACGCCGCGUGCAGGAUGAAGGCCUUCGGGUUGUAAACUGCUUUUAUAAGCGAGAAAUAUGAUGGUAACUUAUGAAUAAGGAUCGUCUAACUACGUGCCAGCAGCCGCGGUCAUACGUAGGAUCCGAGCAUUAUCCGGAGUGACUGGGUGUAAAGAGUUGCGUAGGUGGCAUAAUAAGUAGCUAGUGAAAUCUGGUGGCUCAACCAUUCAGACUAUUAGCUAAACUGUUCAGCUCGAGACAGUUAGGGGUAACUGGAAUUACUAGUGUAGGAGUGAAAUCCGUAGAUAUUAGAAGGAACACCAAUAGCGUAGGAAGGUUGCUGGGACGGUUCUGACACUAAGGCACGAAAGCGUAGGGAGCAAACGGGAUUAGAUACCCCGGUAGU
This 441-nucleotide ribosomal RNA is filed under the name uncultured bacterium. RNAcentral describes it as "partial 16S ribosomal RNA". It matches the Rfam family "Bacterial small subunit ribosomal RNA", at positions 338 to 794 of the family's 1533-position model. The record is from RNAcentral.